UAAUUCAAGAUAUGAAACAAAAAAAUCAAAGUUUAUUUUACAUUACAAAUACUAAAAUUCUUAGCAUCUCACGCGGAGAAUCCAGCAUAUUAUCAUGCACAACAAUAAAGAACUACAACAUCUAGCAUAUUAUCAUGCACAACAAUAAACAACUACAACUUUCCCAUAUGAUCACACACACUUUUCUUUUCACUUGUGAUUUUUGCCUCUGAGUUUAACACCAAGCACUUUCUCCAUUUUCCCCAACACAAGUUGAUUAGGCACCGCCUUACCAUUCUCAUACUCUGCAACAACCUGCGUUCGUUCAU
Molecule: long non-coding RNA, 308 nt
Filed under: Capsicum annuum
Lineage: Eukaryota; Viridiplantae; Streptophyta; Magnoliopsida; Solanales; Solanaceae
Description: long non-coding RNA (CANN_LNC021086)
Source: RNAcentral